AUGGAUCAUUAUGUAUUGCUGCAUAAAUUCGAAGUCCUAACCUUGUUUUACUUCUCUAAAAGGGAUGGCUACAACGAUUUCAAUACAUUCUACAUACAGGUUGCAUCUGGUACUAAAGGUGGCUCUAGUGGUUCCCCUGUUGUUGAUUGCCAAGGAAGAGCUGUUGCACUGAAUGCAGGAAGCAGCAGUUCCAGUGCUUCGGCCUUCUACCUUCCAUUAGACGGUGUAAGUUGUUUAUGUAUCACCACUAAUAUAGUACUUCCUCAUGCUCACAGGAAGUUCUGGGAUCAUAGAAACCAGAUCAUCAUCUGCUACUUAAUCCAUUAA
RNAcentral lists this ribosomal RNA (327 nucleotides) under Triticum aestivum (bread wheat). RNAcentral's name for it is "partial small subunit ribosomal RNA". Lineage: Eukaryota; Viridiplantae; Streptophyta; Magnoliopsida; Poales; Poaceae. The record is from RNAcentral.